UAAAUUUUAAAUGAAAAUACCGUUUUGCUGUAGAAUAUUUCAAGUAACGUGUGCGCUAUGAGCGCCAUUUUAAAAGUAGAGUAUCCUUGGAACAAUAUCUGCUUUUGUGUUUGAGACCAUAACUCUAAUCAAAAUUCGCUGCUACGUUGUGUCAGUUACCACGCGCAGGUUAAUCAGUGCAGUUUAUUUACUACUAAGUACCCUACAGCGGUUUGAUGCUCAGCUGUAUUUGACGCCCUGUUUACAUACAUACUUACAUCAUUAAAUGUUGCUAACAAAGAGAACACGUGGCAUUUAAGCUGAUGCCAGACAAAACGCUUGCGUGACAGAUGCACUUUGACAGAUAAGAUGAAUUGUAUGAUAAUGCACAAAGCAUGCCACAUCCAUAGAUCGUUGCAACUUCAGCUUACUGGCAAAGUUAUAAAUGUCACGCAAAGCCACAAAAUUGUAUCUGACAUCAGCUUUACGUUUCGAACUUUGCUUUCUACAUUUCUUGUCUAUGAAACUUUUCGCAUUUCAUUUUUCGUUACGGGAUCUACAAAUGUUUUGAUGCUUUCACAUUUCGCAAUGUCUUGAUGCUCUGUACAACUAACAUUCGCUGCAUGUCCACAAUUUACUGUUUAUUAUGUUUUUAUUUUGAAAAUAUGUAUAUAUAGAACUACGCCUGUACAUAUGUAUAUAUUUAUAUACCAGCUUGUUCAUAUAAAAAUAUUGCGUUUUGCUUUAGUUUAGCUGUAAAUUGCGCUUGAUUAUGCUUGUGUUUAUAUAUGUAAAUAAAUGUAAAAUUUAUACCAGUCAAAUUGUAUGUAUGUUUACGUAUUCGUCAUUUAUUUUUAUUUUUACUAAGUAUUGAAAAUCAUUUCCAGUUUCUUGUUGGCUUUUCUUUUUGGUAUACUUAGUUUAGUUUAGUUCAGCUGUACACAAUAACAAAAAGGUGCUUUGCUUUUCUCUCACUAAAAUUGCGCCCAAAAUGCAUCCUAAAACAAAACAAAAUACCGAAAAUGAAAUGAAAUGAAGACCAAAAACAUUAAAAUGCACACAUUUAUGUAUAUAUAUAUAUACGCAUAUUUAUGCCCAUAAACACUAUGCACUUUACUUUUGACGAGCUAUCAGCUCAUAUUCGCAAUACCGCUAAAGAAAACUUUCGAAAUCCAGCCGCUUUUUUCUAGUACAUAUUUAAAUGGUAUUGUGCAUAAAAAUUGAAAUGCUUUUUUUCCUUAAAAGUUCGAAUUUUGAUAGUAAUUUUAAAAGGAGUAAAAUAAAUAAUUAAAAAAUAAAAAAUAACUAACACAAAUCACUAACGUGCAUAUCUGAUCUAGUAGUUUAGUUAACCCGCUCCGCUAUGCCUGUAACUAAUUAAACUUGAAAAAAAAAAAACAAAUCCCAUACGACUUUAAAACAAAAUUUAUAUAUAAAAAUAUGUAAACAUGGUGCAUAUUUUUGUAAAUAAAUCUUACACCCUUAUACAUUAAUGUAAAAUUAUAACACACAUGUGUGGAAAACCAGGCCAACUGCUGUGUAAAAAUAACUUAAGAAGCUGUACAAAUUUUCUAGUAAAAAAGAAAUUUUAUUCAAAUAUUUUAAUUAUACAGUUCCAAAAUUGAAUGAGAUGAAAUUAAAAAUCAUAUCAAAAAUAAUAAUUCAAACAUUAAAAAUCCUUUUUUUAAAUUUUCAUGACAUUUUUUAUCAAAAAAUGUAUUUUAUCAACAAAAUUUGCUUUGGUUUUAGUUAAAAUUAUGAAUUAAAUUAUUUUGAAAUAUAAUAAGGGGUACGCAGAGUGAAUUUUAUAACGGUUAAAUAAUUUUAAUGGACUUGCAACCACAAAAAAAUUUGUGCCCACAAAAAAAUGUAUAAUAUGAGUUAAGAUCUUAAAAAUUUAGCUAUGGUAAAAUUGACAUGGGACACCCUGCGAAGUACCUUAUUAUCGAUCAAUAAUUUCUUUGACAAUUUCAAAAAAAAAAAAACAAAUUAAGUUAAUUUUUUAGCUUUAAAAAAAUAAUUAAAAAUUCAAAUACAUACAGUUAAUUUUCAAUAUAAAAGUGCUCAUUAAAGAAAAAAAACUUAAUUGAAUUGCCUGAUUUUGCAAACAUUCAAUAUAUUAAAACAAAAAAAAAAAAACAAAACAAUAUUAAAAUUUUACAAAAAGAGAAAAAAAUUUAACUAAAACUAAAAAUCACACAAAAAGCUAUUUACGAAUGUUUAUAAAAAAUAAAAUACCUGAUAGUGUUUUAACGUUCGUGGCGUGUUUAUCUGUCCUAUUUUGGCAACAUACAUAAAUACUUGUCCGUCCUGGUAAAAUAACAAAAUGUCUGUCACUAAAGCGCAAAAUAUGUAUUUCCAGCAACUGGCCUCGUUUUCAAACAAAACAAGUAUUCUCCUACAUACUUAUAUGGCUAGUUCUAACCAAAAAUAAAUCCCACUUUCCCUUCCAAGAAAAAUAAAAAUUCUACCAUACAUA
Molecule: long non-coding RNA, 2458 nt
Organism: Rhagoletis zephyria (snowberry fruit fly)
Lineage: Eukaryota; Metazoa; Arthropoda; Insecta; Diptera; Tephritidae
Source: RefSeq, a predicted model, not a curated record